GGACGUCCCUAUUCGGAUUGCAGGCUGAAACUCGCCUGCAUGAAGCUGGAAUUGCUAGUAAUCAUAGGUCAGCAUACUAUGGUGAAUACGUUCCCGGGCCUUGUACACACCGCCCGUCACACCAUGAGAGUUGAGAAUACCCGAAGUCCAUGUCAAAGUGGCCGAAGGUAGGCUUGAUGAUUGGGGUGAAGUCGUAACAAGGUAGC
RNAcentral lists this ribosomal RNA (206 nucleotides) under uncultured bacterium. Its description in RNAcentral is "partial 16S ribosomal RNA". It matches the Rfam family "Bacterial small subunit ribosomal RNA", at positions 1281 to 1500 of the family's 1533-position model. The record is from RNAcentral.